Molecule: ribosomal RNA, 119 nt
Organism: Antechinus flavipes (yellow-footed antechinus)
Lineage: Eukaryota; Metazoa; Chordata; Mammalia; Dasyuromorphia; Dasyuridae
Source: RefSeq, a predicted model, not a curated record
AUCUACUGCCAUACCACCCUGAACACUCCCGAUCUCGUCUGAUCUCGGAAACUAAGCAGGGUCGGGCCUGGUUAGUAUUUGGAUGGGAGACCCCCUGGGAAAACCGGGUGCUGUAGGCU